ACCGGCGCACGGGUGAGUAACACGUAUGCAACCUGCCCCUGUCAGGGGGACAACCCGCCGAAAGGCGGGCUAAACCCGCGUACAUGCCACCGGGGCAUCCCGGAGGCAGGAAAGGCUUCGGCCGGACAGGGAUGGGCAUGCGGCGCAUUAGGCAGUAGGCGGGGUAACGGCCCACCUAACCGACGAUGCGUAGGGGUUCUGAGAGGAAGGUCCCCCACACUGGUACUGAGACACGGACCAGACUCCUACGGGAGGCAGCAGUGAGGAAUAUUGGUCAAUGGUCGGGAGACUGAACCAGCCAAGCCGCGUGAGGGAUGAAGGUACAGAGUAUCGUAAACCUCUUUUGUCAGGGAACAAAGGCGGGGACGUGUCCCCGGAUGAGUGUACCUGAAGAAAAAGCAUCGGCUAACUCCGUGCCAGCAGCCGCGGUAAUACGGAGGAUGCGAGCGUUAUCCGGAUUUAUUGGGUUUAAAGGGUGCGCAGGCGGUCUGUUAAGUCAGCGGUCAAAGCCCGGGGCUCAACCCCGGCCCGCCGUUGAAACUGGCAGUCUCGAGUUGGAGAGAAGUAUGCGGAAUGCGCGGUGUAGCGGUGAAAUGCAUAGAUAUCGCGCAGAACUCCGAUUGCGAAGGCAGCAUGCCGGCUCCACACUGACGCUGAGGCACGAAAGCGUGGGUAUCGAACAGGAUUAGAUACCCUGGUAGUCCACGCAGUAAACGAUGAAUGCUG
This 726-nucleotide ribosomal RNA is filed under the name uncultured bacterium. RNAcentral describes it as "bacterial SSU rRNA". It matches the Rfam family "Bacterial small subunit ribosomal RNA", at positions 94 to 818 of the family's 1533-position model. The record is from RNAcentral.